This is a long non-coding RNA of Hyalella azteca, 202 nucleotides long. RefSeq lists it as uncharacterized. The record is from RefSeq and is a predicted model, not a curated record. Lineage: Eukaryota; Metazoa; Arthropoda; Malacostraca; Amphipoda; Hyalellidae. The transcript has 3 exons.
CGAAGGCUUCCAGCAGUCCAAGCAACCCUCGCCCCUGGACUUCGUCAGUCCACUCAAGGGUGGAAUGAUCGGACCGCUCUUCAGGCCAACUGAUCAAGCUUCCAUUGACCUACGGACUGCAGGAUGUUACUACCAAUUCCAUCACUACGAGGAGGGGGACAGAAUCGUGACGAAUGAGCCUUGCCUAAACUGUACAUGCCAC